This 253-nucleotide ribosomal RNA is filed under the name uncultured bacterium. Its description in RNAcentral is "partial 16S ribosomal RNA". It matches the Rfam family "Bacterial small subunit ribosomal RNA", at positions 524 to 776 of the family's 1533-position model. The record is from RNAcentral.
UACGUAGGGUGCGAGCGUUAAUCGGAAUUACUGGGCGUAAAGCGUGCGCAGGCGGUUGUGCAAGACCGAUGUGAAAUCCCCGGGCUUAACCUGGGAAUGGCAUUGGUGACUGCACGGCUAGAGUGUGUCAGAGGGGGGUAGAAUUCCACGUGUAGCAGUGAAAUGCGUAGAUAUGUGGAGGAACACCGAUGGCGAAGGCAGCCCCCUGGGAUAACACUGACGCUCAUGCACGAAAGCGUGGGGAGCAAACAGG